This 265-nucleotide ribosomal RNA is filed under the name uncultured archaeon. Its description in RNAcentral is "partial 16S ribosomal RNA". It matches the Rfam family "Archaeal small subunit ribosomal RNA", at positions 717 to 982 of the family's 1478-position model. The record is from RNAcentral.
ACACGACUACAUUAGAUACCCCCGUAGUCCUAGCCGUAAACGAUACUCGCUAGGUGUCGGCCACGGUGCGACCGUUGUCGGUGCCGUAGGGAAGCCGUGAAGCGAGCCACCUGGGAAGUACGGCCGCAAGGCUGAAACUUAAAGGAAUUGGCGGGGGAGCACCACGACGGGAGGAGCGUGCGGUUUAAUUGGAUUCAACACCGUAAAGCUCACCAGGGAAGACUGUUACAUGAAGGCCGAGAUGAAGACUCUGCUAGAUUUUCAG